Long non-coding RNA from Girardinichthys multiradiatus, 1055 nucleotides. RefSeq lists it as uncharacterized. Lineage: Eukaryota; Metazoa; Chordata; Actinopteri; Cyprinodontiformes; Goodeidae. The record is from RefSeq and is a predicted model, not a curated record. The transcript has 5 exons.
AAUUUCUGUUGACCGUGACAUGACUUCGUUUUAUUGUUGGCACCGUUGUAUGGUUUAGCCUGGUCAGUAUGUGUCAGUCCUGUAAAGAGAAGUAUGGCAGUUAAAGUGGAAUAAAUUGAUGGUUGCAACAUACAAGAAGCGGCCUGGAGAGUAUUUGAAGCACGCGUCUGACAGUCGAAAUUCACCGAGUUAACCCAGUGCGGUCCUCUACAACAUCGUUAGUUUGCCGCACAGUUAUCGUCAACAGAAACUGACAGUUUGAAUGAGCGGCUUAUUGGAAAGGCAAGUCUGGAUUUUUCGCUUCUGCUUGGAACAGGUUGGAAACGGUAAUGGCGCAUGGAGCGCAGCGUCAUCAGUUAAUUGAAUGAGAUUCCUUCACUGCAGCUCAAUCAAGUCCGCUGGAGCUGAGAUAUCAACAGAGUAGCUGCAACUUCGACCUGAAGGCUUUUAAGUGGUCAAACAGCUCAGUGAUGAUCUCUUCCUUUCCUUGCAGCUGAAUAUUCAGGAUGUUGAGCAGAAACUCCGCGAUGACAUUUGAAGACAUCCCCGCGGCUCAGCCAGCUCACCUCCUCCAAAAGGGCCCUGAAUUGGCUGAGCAGAGCGAGUUGCAUAGCUGCCUGGCAGCGCAGCUGCACUUCAUCAGGACCUCAUCAGCUGAAGCUUAAAAGGAGCGGGUGGCUGAUCAGUUGACACCUCAGUGUCUUACUAUGUGGUUGCCUACCUGCCACGAACCGGAUCACUUCGGCCGAGAACCAAAUCCUCAGAUCUUUGCUAAGCUGAUCAGAUCCUACCAUCCAGCUACCCCCAAGGCUGGGAUCCGCUAAAGUCCUGCCCGCCCUCAGCCAACAAGCUGCUAACGAAUUCCAAGUACCUCAUUGAUCUUUGACCAUUUCCCUCCCGGAGGGAUCCUGCACCAGCCCGAUUAAGCCUUCUCAAGAUCUUUGCUCCUUUUGAAUCCUACGCUCACCAUCAACCCUUCCUUCUGCAGUAAUACCUGCCCAAACCCUGACUACUUACCUGAAUCUGAACCUGUCAAUAAAUCUAGUUAAACUGCC